CAGGUCACACGCAAGCUGCGUUUUCCCUGCACUUUUCUUCAAAAGACUUUCCCUUAAAUUUUGCCCAAACUGGAUGACCCAAUCACGUUGCUAGCUGUAGAGCUUCAUGCAGAUUUGUCCAAAGUCGCGAACCAAUCACGUGGCUGCCUUAGCGCACGCUGCGUCACUUUCAAAAUGGCGGCGUUCUACACUAAACUUAAACAUUCUGUCGCGUAAAUUCAGUCAUACAAUACAGCACAAGAGAAACAACUCAAGUGAGCCUACCCUGGAUUGCACACCAUCACUUCACCGAAGAGCUGCUUGAGGUUGGGCCUGCCCCACUUCACCCGGCUGAAGACCAGCUUCUCAGCCGCGGUGCUACCCCGGAGGUCUCUUUGCUCGCCCCCGGUCACGUACAGCCUAAGGGUGAGCAAGUCCGGUCUGUUGGACUCCCAGAGCUACAAGGCAACACAGGAAAACACUUGUUUAAAUCUCUACUCCACCAAGCACCAGGACUACACUUGUCUUCCUAAACUGGUCGUGCCUCGAAUUGGUCCACAUGCAGCUGAAGUUCCAUGACGUCACAGGCAUGGAACCGAACGCCAAUCACCGUCACGCACCGGUAACUCCGGAAGAAUCGCCACAACCGCUCCCCAAUGUACAGGACAGCUGGGAGGAUUAAAAAGCACCAUGUCUCUCUACAUGACGUCAGGACAAUGGCAACCAGAAUAAGCAGCAUUAGGCAGCCCGUCACGCCAGGCACUGUGAGAAAUAUAAGGGCAAGGAGCAAACUUUGUACACAUCGACAACUUACGUGUUUAGACCUCCGUAUAAGCGACAGCAGGCAUCUGCACAUCGGUAGCAAGAUUGUGGCAC
Molecule: long non-coding RNA, 855 nt
Organism: Patiria miniata (bat star)
Lineage: Eukaryota; Metazoa; Echinodermata; Asteroidea; Valvatida; Asterinidae
Exons: 5
Source: RefSeq, a predicted model, not a curated record